Suncus etruscus (white-toothed pygmy shrew) is the source of this 108-nucleotide small nuclear RNA. The record is from RefSeq and is a predicted model, not a curated record. Lineage: Eukaryota; Metazoa; Chordata; Mammalia; Eulipotyphla; Soricidae.
UAGUAUCCGCUUGGCAACAAUUUUACUAAAAUAGGAAUGAUACAGAGAAGAUUAGCAUGGCCGCUGCGCAAGGAUGACGCGCAAAUUCGUGAAGCAUUCCCUAUUUAA